This is a long non-coding RNA of Populus euphratica (Euphrates poplar), 745 nucleotides long. RefSeq lists it as uncharacterized. Lineage: Eukaryota; Viridiplantae; Streptophyta; Magnoliopsida; Malpighiales; Salicaceae. The transcript has 3 exons. The record is from RefSeq and is a predicted model, not a curated record.
GGAAUGGUAAAUUGGGUUUUAGUUAAUUCCUUGUGGAUGCUUUUCGGACAACAUAUAUGAUUCCAACUCACAUCUGUGACUAAAGAUGCAGCAGGGAAGCGCAAUCACUCCACACAUACCCAUACAAGUUGGUUGAUAAACUUGAAGCACCUUAAAGCUUUUCCCUCCAGUCAGAUUUCAACUAGAUGCGAAGAUAAUGGAUGACUUUUAGAAGCCAAUUACAGAGAAAGCUUGGAAUUACUUGAACAAGCAAGCUGCAGACUCGUUGCCUGAUCUUUUGCUGCCAUCAUCAACCAUUUGGUCCUUGGACUCUAAUUCUAUGCUACUGGUUUUACACCAGCCGGGGUAAAAACACAGUAUUGCAUGCGUCACAGGCAGCUUGAUGGGGGCAAAUCUGGAACCGCGGACGAUAUUAUUGGGUGUUAACGGCGACAGGGGGCUUUGAGCCGCCCAAUCUGACUGACCGCCCCUACCUUUCUUUUCUCUAGUAGUCCCUGUCGUGCCUGACAUGGCGUACACGUGUGCGAGACACUCGUCCGUGCCUGUUGCAGACGCCUACGACUCUCUCUGUACGCGCGUGUUGUAGUUCCCAAUGUGCAAAACGUGAAAUUAGCAUGGACUAAGAAUGGUAUAAUAUCUGGAAAAUGUCGUGGACCGACUUGAUUUGUUUGUCAUUACAUUAUUCUAGAUGAAGUGCAUGUAUGAUCGCUUCAAAUGUUGGUGCCAUAUUUUCUUUUAAAAUAUA